GUAAGCUGAGGGGACGGCUUCGCUCCUGUGUCAGAGCAGGGGUGAGGAAGUUCCAUCCACCUUAAGACAAAACCCCUGAGAAGGGGAGGUCAGUAUCAGAAACGAGACCUUUCGGCUGCUUAAGCUAUGAGCAAGAGUGAGUGCGGCUCGAAAGGAUGAAACGGACUGACCUGUCUGAUGGGGUGCAAGCUAAGCGCUUAGACAAAUGCCGUCUCGAACAGAAGAUGGGCUACUCUCAGCAUGC
This is an RNase P RNA of 244 nucleotides. It matches the Rfam family "Archaeal RNase P". Rfam says of the family: Ribonuclease P (RNase P) is a ubiquitous endoribonuclease, found in archaea, bacteria and eukarya as well as chloroplasts and mitochondria. Its best characterised activity is the generation of mature 5'-ends of tRNAs by cleaving the 5'-leader elements of precursor-tRNAs.